Molecule: ribosomal RNA, 497 nt
Filed under: uncultured bacterium
Lineage: Bacteria
Description: partial 16S ribosomal RNA
Rfam family: Bacterial small subunit ribosomal RNA
Source: RNAcentral
GACGAACGCUGGCGGCAUGCCUAAUACAUGCAAGUCGAACGCUGAAGCACUCUGCUUGCAGAGUGCGGAUGAGUGGCGAACGGGUGAGUAACACGUGGGAAAUCUGCCUAUAAGAGGGGGAUAACAUUCGGAAACGGAUGCUAAUACCGCAUAUAUUCUUGGACCGCCUGGUCCUUGAAAGAAAGACGGCUUUGCUGUCGCUUAUAGAUGAUCCCGCGGCGUAUUAGUUAGUUGGUGGGGUAAAGGCCUACCAAGACAAUGAUACGUAGCCGACCUGAGAGGGUGAUCGGCCACACUGGGACUGAGACACGGCCCAGACUCCUACGGGAGGCAGCAGUAGGGAAUCUUCCACAAUGGGCGAAAGCCUGAUGGAGCAAUGCCGCGUGAAUGAAGAAGGUCUUCGGAUCGUAAAGUUCUGUUAUUAGAGAAGAACAAGUCAAGGAGUAACUGUCUUGACUUUGACGGUACCUAAACAGAAAGUCACGGCUAACUACGUG